RNAcentral lists this long non-coding RNA (1044 nucleotides) under Gallus gallus (chicken). RNAcentral describes it as "lncRNA (ENSGALG00010002096.1)". Lineage: Eukaryota; Metazoa; Chordata; Aves; Galliformes; Phasianidae. The record is from RNAcentral.
AUUUUAUUAAGACAGUUUCCACACCACCUACAUGCUUUUGAGUUACCAUAACUGGUUAAAAUACUUGUGAAAUGAGUCACUAAAAUACAUAUUAAGGAGGAACGGCGCUUUUCUCUAUUAGUUGUUAAUCUUCCUGAUGAGGCUGACUUGCUUUUCAUUAGAAGCCUGACUGAUGCCACCACCUGCUGACUUGGGAUCACUGUUUCAGAUAAGGCACUAUUUCCUUCUGCCACCUGCUCUACCGAAUAGUGCUGGAAUUCAGCUGAUGUUUUUAAAUACCAGUGUCAAGACUGUAGCUGUUUCUGCGACUUAUAUUUUAAGCUCCGGGUUUCCCCAGGAGUGUUCUGUUAAUUUUAGCUAGUUCAAAAUGCAGCAAUGAGUAAAAAAAAAAAAUCAGAGCCUGAUGGCUCAAGUUUUAAGAAUGAUGAUUUCCUAUCUCUUAAUUUACUUUGGUUCCCUAAGAAAUCCAAGUAUUGAAUUCAGUUUACAUCUUCUACUGUUCUUUAACUCCCUUGGUUCUUGUUCUGCACUGGGUUAAUUGGCUACAAGAUGCCAAUACACAGAGGAGGGUACAGUAUAAGAAUAAAAUCUCGUCUUGUAUAAGCUAGGAUAUAGACUGUCCAUGUAUUUUAGAAACAGAAGUAGGGUAGCCUUUCAGAAAUUACCACAGCUACUCUUUUUGCCUGGAUGGUUUCAAGAGAAUGCAAGAGUGAAAUGACUGUGUGCAAUUACUCCACGUGGGCACUGAUUUGACAUGGCCAGACUUAAUGACUGCCUGAUCUCCAGAGAAUAUAAAAGAAAAAACUGGAAAAGCUUUUACUUUGAUGCCAUUUCUUUCGAGCUGCCAAAGUAAAGCAAACUGCUUCAGCCGUAAGGAAAAGUUCUACCCAGUAAUCCCAGGCCUAAAGACCUCAACAAGAAUGAUUCAGGAUCCUGGAGUUUGAUUUCUGUUGCUGUCACAAUGAGUUAUGAAACCAUGCAACAGAAAGCUGAUCUAACUGCUAUACUGUAACAGAUUUUCCACUAGGGAAAUGGAAUGUGGAA